This 991-nucleotide long non-coding RNA is filed under the name Monodelphis domestica (gray short-tailed opossum). RNAcentral's name for it is "lncRNA (ENSMODG00000035344.2)". The record is from RNAcentral. Lineage: Eukaryota; Metazoa; Chordata; Mammalia; Didelphimorphia; Didelphidae.
ACUUAAUAAGCUUCCAUUAAGGUGAAGCCACUGAUGAGGAGAACAAGGCAGGAAGUCAAAGUAUCUACAAACCCUCAACAGCUGGAUCAUCUGCUGAAGAAGAGACAAGGCAAGACAAAUGGUCAAAUAUCAGAGAAAGAAAAUAGCCAGUCAUCAGAAAAUCAAUAAACCUGAGGGAGCAAUGCUAAGCAAGCCAGCAAGACUCUAGGCACUUGGCCCCGACAGCAAAGAAAGGACCCUGAUACUAACUACUGAGGCUGAUCCUUGUCUCAGCUUCAGUCACUUUUAUUUCUUUCUGUCCCCAGUGAAAGUCUGUCUUCUUGAGAAAGCCUGCCUGGAGGCCUUCAGGUGAUAAGAAAAAGCAGGUGACCAGGGAAGCAUCUGUGCAGGGCCCAUGACAGACUUAGUUCUGGGCAGGGAAAUUGACUAGUAUUCUCUUUAAAAAUAUGAAAGAAAUAAUAUCUUGUUUAGCACCAACUAAGGUCCCUUUCCCCUUUUUGGUGAAUUUUUAUAUGCAUUUAUUCUACAGAAUAGUAAACUCUACAAAAUUUUUGGCCUUCAAAUUUUGUUGUACUUUCUACAUCUGCAUCUGAAAGACCUGAAAGCAAACACUGGCUCCACAGGGAAAAAAAACCCAAUGAGGGCAGCAUACUAGUCAGCACUAUGUGAAGUGGACUUUCAUCUCUUCUCUCUUCCUCUUCCCCUCCCAUUCCCACCAUCUAAUGAAGAAACGAUGGAAAGGAAAGGAUGAACAACUCCCUGCUUCAUUGGAAAUGGAAGAAGACCACAAAGGGAUUCCCAUGCUCCAAAGGCUUUCAAGACAGACUUUCAGCCAUCUCCUUAUUACUGCCGCUUAUUAGAUUUGAGAAAUCCAGAAGAAGCAGACAGUUGGAAUGGUUUUCCCAAGAACCUGAUUGUACUGGGGUCUGUUUUCUGCAAGCAAAUAUUAGUGCUCUCCUAAGCAAGUAAAAUGAGGAGAGAGCAAGAGGAG